UCCAAUUUUUCCCCUUCUUCCCCCUAUCCCCUCCCCCAGAUGGCAGGUUGACCAAUACAUGUUAAAUAUAGCAUUCUUAUUUCAAUGUGUAUCUCCCCUUUUUCUAGAUCUCAGAGCAUAAACCUAUGAAUGGGAUUUAGGAGAACAGAGUAGUGCAAAGCAUGGGAACGUCCUCCCACUACUUCUUGACAUAUUGAAUUUCUACCAACCCCCUAAACCAACUCAAAUGUUGCCUCACCUGGGAUCCCCAAGUCUAUAAAGACCUUAUUCCUUGGACCAAUAAUGAGUACUUUGAGAACAGACUGGGGGUGAGCUUUUUUUUUUAUUCUUGCUGCUUAUCAUAGUGUCUGACACAUAAUGGGCACUUAAUAAAUGCUUGUUGAUUGAUUGAAAAAUUUCAUUUUGUAUCUCUCUAACGUACUUGCUAUUCCAUGAUUUGACAAUUGCUUACCUUUCCAGAUGUUUCAUAUCACUCUCUUUCAUUUACAUUAUAAUGAUAGAGAGCAAGAAGAGAGAGAUGGGGGAAAGAAUAACAGGCUAAGGGUAAAGUCCAAAGGAGGAUCAUUUGGCAUUUAGACAUUGUCCAAGAGACUAGAAAGGCAGGUAAAAGAGGAGAAAGAUUAGUCUAAAUGGGAAAUGUCCAAGAAUAAAAUUGAUAAUAGAAAAGCAAAAGAAAAGAUGAAGGUAGAGAGGAGGAAGUGAGAGAUCUUAUCCGUUAGCAUAGGGCUCCCUAAGACAAGAGGGUGUCAUGUUCCAUAUGACCAC
Long non-coding RNA from Sarcophilus harrisii (Tasmanian devil), 765 nucleotides. RefSeq lists it as uncharacterized. The transcript is spliced from 2 exons. NCBI's taxonomy places the organism in Eukaryota, Metazoa, Chordata, Mammalia, Dasyuromorphia, Dasyuridae. The record is from RefSeq and is a predicted model, not a curated record.